GUGGGACUAAAAGAGCUGCAUAGAAAAUCUAAAGCUAGAUCCCUUGCAUUCUCCGCAGUGAAGCAGGAUUCCUACAGUCAAGGAUCUCCUUCACUGCAUAACCCUGAUUCAUGCACAGAGCAGAUCCCGUGAAUCCCAUGGAAGGAGCUGUGAAAAAAACAGAAUAAAUGGUGCCCACAAAGCUUGCACCCAUGAAAACAGAUUCCAUGCCUGAGUACCUGACCUGAGGGUUCAGCCAGCAGAAGAAGCCCUGCCCCUGAGGCUCUGCAGAACAUACUCCACCUGGAAGUCAGGUAUAAAAGCUUGCAGAGCUGUUCAGUCAGGGCAGACUGCAGGAGGGGAAGGAGGUUCAUCACUCUCUCCAGCAGAAGAGUGGCCCGCACACCAGGACGCAGAGGCCAGAUGCGCUGCAGAGGGGAAGCAGAGGACGCCGCGGACCUGGUUGAAUCCAAGGAAGAGCAGGGCAUUUGGAUCAUACCACCUUCCAAAGGACGCAACAUUAUUUAAUCCUCUUUAUCUUUCUAGUCACAUUUUUUUCUUUUUCCACAAGAAAAGAUGGGAUUAGCUGUGUAGUCAUCAUAAUGUCACAAGUAUAGUCUCUGCUGUUGAAGGGAGCCUCUUGUCUAUGGUGGUCAAGAUCUCACUGGUAACACAAGCCUCACUAUUCUGGAUGGCAUGUACGGACACUUGUAUGCCAAAUAAAAAAGAACAAUGGAGAAAAAUUGUUUGCAGUCAGUUUGCGCUGCCAAGAAAACAGACUGUAUUAUACAGGGUGCCUGCCUGCGAAGCCAAUUAAUAUGUACCACUUGGGGAGCGUUUCAAAAUGCAUGGAAUAUGAAAACAAACACCGCAAGAAGGCAAGCCAAGAUGAAGCAACACACCUCCACAGUAGUAAUACCUGUGAUCACUAUAGUGCCUUUCAUCAACACAUCCAAAACUGACAAACUUCACAAACUCUGGACCAAAUCUGGUGUAUCUUUCUUACACAGGUUGUCCCAUUUGCUAUCUAUGGAGUGAUCCCUGUGCCUGUCUGUACUUAAUCUAUCCAUCCUUUCAAACAGUACUGUACUAUGCUUGCUUUAUCCAUUACUAAAAUGCAGCCACCUCUCAAACAGAAGUCAGCAGACUUUAAACAUCACAUAGCAACACUCCACACCAAAUCAGAGUAGAGUGAAUACCUUUUCCAGUCAAAGAUACAGGGGAUUCUAUUCAAGCCCUACAGUAGCCAAAUACUUCUCACUGAAGUCAAUGGGAGUUAUUCAGAUAGGGCUCAAUCCAGCCCCCACUGAAGUCAAUGGCCGUAUUCCCACUGAAUUCAACAGUGCAGGUUGACCCGAGAGUGCCGCAGACAAGCAGGACCCAGGGAAUUAUAGUCUGGCAGAAUUUGAUCACGCAGUUGGAAUCCCAUGAAAACUGAUUUUUCUUCAACCCCCCUUUUUCAGAUAAUUAAACAUACUAACCAAUUUUGUAACUACUGGGUACUCACAAUAGAAGUGAUACAACUCUGAAAUUCUAAAUGUAGUUGGGGAUUUUAAUAAGCUUCCAAAUGAGAGAAUAAAGGGGGAAACAAACAAAUUAAUGCCAUAGGGCCAAAUUCUGAUCUCAGUUACAAGUGAAAAGACUGCCACUGAUGAUGAUGUUAUUACUGCAGAUUUAUACUGAUGUAACUGAGAGAAGAAUCUGCCCUGCUAGUUACCAGAUAUUACAGAUCACAGUUUUCUAUUUUGGAUUUCACGUGGGUCAGGGAUUCAGUCAACUAAUUUGUUUGUAGAAGUUUUGCAUUCUUGUAUUGUUAAUGUUCCCUGAGUUUUUUGCUUUGGGGCAUUACAA
Malaclemys terrapin pileata is the source of this 1830-nucleotide long non-coding RNA. RefSeq lists it as uncharacterized. The record is from RefSeq and is a predicted model, not a curated record. The transcript has 5 exons. NCBI's taxonomy places the organism in Eukaryota, Metazoa, Chordata, Testudines, Emydidae.